Molecule: ribosomal RNA, 471 nt
Filed under: uncultured bacterium
Lineage: Bacteria
Description: SSU rRNA
Rfam family: Bacterial small subunit ribosomal RNA
Source: RNAcentral
AGGACGAACGCUGGCGGCGUGCCUCAUACAUGCAAGUGGAGCGACGAACCAGGAUUUAUCCUGGGGCAAAGCCGCGAACGGGUGAGUAACACGUGGGUUACCUGCCCCGAUGAUUGGGACAACCCGAGGAAACUCGGGCUAAUACCAAAUGUGUUCUUGGUCGUGAUGACCAAGAAGAAAGGAAGCCUCGGCCUCCGCAUCGGGAUGGGCCCGCGGCCCAUUAGCUAGUUGGUGGGGUAAUGGCCUACCAAGGCGACGAUGGGUAGCUGGUCUGAGAGGAUGACCAGCAUCACUGGGACUGAGACACGGCCCAGACUCCUACGGGAGGCAGCAGUGGGGAAUAUUGGACAAUGGGCGCAAGCCUGAUCCAGCCAUGCCGCGUGGAUGAUGAGGCCUUAGGGUUGUAAGUCUUUAACGGGAGAUAAUGACGUACCGUAGAAUAAGCCCGGCUAACUUCGUGCCAGCAGCCGC